This 1492-nucleotide ribosomal RNA is filed under the name Lactiplantibacillus argentoratensis. Its description in RNAcentral is "partial 16S ribosomal RNA". It matches the Rfam family "Bacterial small subunit ribosomal RNA". The record is from RNAcentral. Lineage: Bacteria; Bacillati; Bacillota; Bacilli; Lactobacillales; Lactobacillaceae.
GACGAACGCUGGCGGCGUGCCUAAUACAUGCAAGUCGAACGAACUCUGGUAUUGAUUGGUGCUUGCAUCAUGAUUUACAUUUGAGUGAGUGGCGAACUGGUGAGUAACACGUGGGAAACCUGCCCAGAAGCGGGGGAUAACACCUGGAAACAGAUGCUAAUACCGCAUAACAACUUGGACCGCAUGGUCCGAGCUUGAAAGAUGGCUUCGGCUAUCACUUUUGGAUGGUCCCGCGGCGUAUUAGCUAGAUGGUGGGGUAAUGGCUCACCAUGGCAAUGAUACGUAGCCGACCUGAGAGGGUAAUCGGCCACAUUGGGACUGAGACACGGCCCAAACUCCUACGGGAGGCAGCAGUAGGGAAUCUUCCACAAUGGACGAAAGUCUGAUGGAGCAACGCCGCGUGAGUGAAGAAGGGUUUCGGCUCGUAAAACUCUGUUGUUAAAGAAGAACAUAUCUGAGAGUAACUGUUCAGGUAUUGACGGUAUUUAACCAGAAAGCCACGGCUAACUACGUGCCAGCAGCCGCGGUAAUACGUAGGUGGCAAGCGUUGUCCGGAUUUAUUGGGCGUAAAGCGAGCGCAGGCGGUUUUUUAAGUCUGAUGUGAAAGCCUUCGGCUCAACCGAAGAAGUGCAUCGGAAACUGGGAAACUUGAGUGCAGAAGAGGACAGUGGAACUCCAUGUGUAGCGGUGAAAUGCGUAGAUAUAUGGAAGAACACCAGUGGCGAAGGCGGCUGUCUGGUCUGUAACUGACGCUGAGGCUCGAAAGUAUGGGUAGCAAACAGGAUUAGAUACCCUGGUAGUCCAUACCGUAAACGAUGAAUGCUAAGUGUUGGAGGGUUUCCGCCCUUCAGUGCUGCAGCUAACGCAUUAAGCAUUCCGCCUGGGGAGUACGGCCGCAAGGCUGAAACUCAAAGGAAUUGACGGGGGCCCGCACAAGCGGUGGAGCAUGUGGUUUAAUUCGAAGCUACGCGAAGAACCUUACCAGGUCUUGACAUACUAUGCAAAUCUAAGAGAUUAGACGUUCCCUUCGGGGACAUGGAUACAGGUGGUGCAUGGUUGUCGUCAGCUCGUGUCGUGAGAUGUUGGGUUAAGUCCCGCAACGAGCGCAACCCUUAUUAUCAGUUGCCAGCAUUAAGUUGGGCACUCUGGUGAGACUGCCGGUGACAAACCGGAGGAAGGUGGGGAUGACGUCAAAUCAUCAUGCCCCUUAUGACCUGGGCUACACACGUGCUACAAUGGAUGGUACAACGAGUUGCGAACUCGCGAGAGUAAGCUAAUCUCUUAAAGCCAUUCUCAGUUCGGAUUGUAGGCUGCAACUCGCCUACAUGAAGUCGGAAUCGCUAGUAAUCGCGGAUCAGCAUGCCGCGGUGAAUACGUUCCCGGGCCUUGUACACACCGCCCGUCACACCAUGAGAGUUUGUAACACCCAAAGUCGGUGGGGUAACCUUUUAGGAACCAGCCGCCUAAGGUGGGACAGAUGAUUAGGGUGAAG